This 411-nucleotide ribosomal RNA is filed under the name bacterium enrichment culture clone ALO1_GLFRUDD03G06ON. RNAcentral's name for it is "bacterial SSU rRNA". It matches the Rfam family "Bacterial small subunit ribosomal RNA", at positions 9 to 420 of the family's 1533-position model. RNAcentral also lists the same sequence under 2 other names. The record is from RNAcentral.
GAGUUUGAUCGUGGCUCAGAUUGAACGCUGGCGGCAUGCCUUACACAUGCAAGUCGAACGGCAGCACGGGAGCUUGCUCCUGGUGGCGAGUGGCGAACGGGUGAGUAAUGCAUCGGAACGUAUCCUGGAGUGGGGGAUAACGUAGCGAAAGUUACGCUAAUACCGCAUAUUCUGUGAGCAGGAAAGCGGGGGACCUUCGGGCCUCGCGCUCUUGGAGCGGCCGAUGUCGGAUUAGCUAGUUGGUGAGGUAAAGGCUCACCAAGGCGACGAUCCGUAGCAGGUCUGAGAGGAUGAUCUGCCACACUGGAACUGAGACACGGUCCAGACUCCUACGGGAGGCAGCAGUGGGGAAUUUUGGACAAUGGGGGCAACCCUGAUCCAGCCAUGCCGCGUGAGUGAAGAAGGCCUGGU